CGGGGUGUGGCGCAGUCUGGUUAGCGUGCUACCUUGGGGUGGUAGAGGCCGUGGGUUCGAAUCCCGCCACUCCGACCA
RNAcentral lists this transfer RNA (78 nucleotides) under Campylobacterales bacterium. RNAcentral's name for it is "tRNA-Pro". It matches the Rfam family "tRNA". Rfam says of the family: Transfer RNA (tRNA) molecules are approximately 80 nucleotides in length. Their secondary structure includes four short double-helical elements and three loops (D, anti-codon, and T loops). Lineage: Bacteria; Pseudomonadati; Campylobacterota; Epsilonproteobacteria; Campylobacterales. The record is from RNAcentral. RNAcentral also lists the same sequence under 2 other names.